Molecule: ribosomal RNA, 301 nt
Filed under: uncultured bacterium
Lineage: Bacteria
Description: partial 16S ribosomal RNA
Rfam family: Bacterial small subunit ribosomal RNA
Source: RNAcentral
CAGCCGCCACGGUAAUACGAAGGGGGCUAGCGUUGUUCGGAUUUACUGGGCGUAAAGCGCACGUAGGCGGAUCGAUCAGUCAGGGGUGUAAUCCCAGAGCUCAACUCUGGAACUGCCUUUGAUACUGUCGAUCUGGAGUAUGGAAGAGGUGAGUGGAAUUCCGAGUGUAGAGGUGAAAUUCGUAGAUAUUCGGAGGAACACCAGUGGCGAAGACGGCUCACUGGUCCAUUACUGACGCUGAGGUGCGAAAGCGUGGGGAGCAAACAGGAUUAGAUACCCGAGUAGUCCCUGUCUCUUAUAA